RNAcentral lists this ribosomal RNA (253 nucleotides) under uncultured bacterium. RNAcentral describes it as "partial 16S ribosomal RNA". It matches the Rfam family "Bacterial small subunit ribosomal RNA", at positions 524 to 776 of the family's 1533-position model. The record is from RNAcentral.
UACAGAGGGGGCAAGCGUUGUUCGGAAUUACUGGGCGUAAAGGGCGCGUAGGCGGCCUUCUAAGUCGAACGUGAAAUCCCCGGGCUCAACCCGGGAACUGCGUCCGAUACUGGAAGGCUUGAAUCCGGGAGAGGGAUGCGGAAUUCCAGGUGUAGCGGUGAAAUGCGUAGAUAUCUGGAGGAACACCGGUGGCGAAGGAGGCAUCCUGGACCGGCAUUGACGCUGAGGCGCGAAAGCCAGGGGAGCAAACGGG